UUCGGCAUGCGCGCCAAUUCACGAUAGUUUUUCGUCCGUGUGUGCCGUGAGCCGGUUGAAAGGUCGAGGAUUCAUUCUAGUUUCUUCCUUAGACAAGCAAACAUCUUCCACGGCGAUUCUUCUGUUCGCAAUCAGGAUGCAGUGGCGCAUUUUAUUACUUUUCGCUUUAGCUAUCGUUUGUUGUUUCGUGAUUGAACCAGGCGAAGCUAAUCGUCAACCGAUCUUUGUCAAACAUCAAACUACUACGCCUCGUUACAAUAGGAAGCAAGUAGCCAUGGCUCCCAGUCGUAGUUGUCCUACGGGACAUUUGUUGGAUAAAAACGGCAUCUGCAGAAUGAUAUGGCUUGGGUGAAUAUAAUAAAAAGCGAACAAUCAAUCAGCCGUCUGCGGCUACGCUCGAUUGUUUGAAAAAAAAAUGCACACACGCCCUCAUGCAUAAUGAACGCCCGAGACUUUCGCCAAUCUAAAAAUACCGAAGAGGAAAGACCUACAUAAUCGUAUUGGAAGCUGUUCGUCCUUGAUUUUUUUUGCGCAAGUUGAAAAUACACGAUAAAUAUACUAUUAAUAAAAA
Daphnia magna is the source of this 571-nucleotide long non-coding RNA. RefSeq lists it as uncharacterized. NCBI's taxonomy places the organism in Eukaryota, Metazoa, Arthropoda, Branchiopoda, Diplostraca, Daphniidae. The record is from RefSeq and is a predicted model, not a curated record. The transcript is spliced from 2 exons.